This is a long non-coding RNA of Oreochromis aureus, 472 nucleotides long. RefSeq lists it as uncharacterized. NCBI's taxonomy places the organism in Eukaryota, Metazoa, Chordata, Actinopteri, Cichliformes, Cichlidae. The record is from RefSeq and is a predicted model, not a curated record. The transcript has 3 exons.
GAAUGUCUAGAGAACGUGUCUCCUUAUUCAACUCCAGUGCAGUUGCCGUGGCAACCUGAUCGACACAAUGACUUGGUGGACCCUGCGAUAUAAUACAAGAGAAAAAACCCGUGUCAAAAUCCCAGUUCAGUGCGUCUCCUGUCUGGAUGGCUUUCUCUCUCGCGCUUCCUGCCUUAUCCUCACUCUGCACGUAUGCUCAUUCACGUGCGCACACUUGUGCAGCACACACCCUAAUCACUUAGUGAAGGAUGCAAAAGGACAGUUUAAUCACAGCGAAGUAGCUCAAACACAGUGAAAAAAUACCUAAUCCCUGAAGUUGAGAGUCAUCCUUCUGAAGAAUACACACCAAUCAUCAUUUCCUGUCCACCACAAAUUCUUUUUCCUGUAAGGACUGACUUGCACAGAUUCAACUCAUGUCCUUAGAGAAGGUGAAAUGGAUUCGGCACCUGAGAGCGACGCGCUUUGCGCUACU